GCGAGUGAAGCGGCAAAAGCUCAAAUUUGAAAUCUGGUACCUUUGGUGCCCGAGUUGUAAUUUGAAGGUAGUUUUCUGGUGCUGGUCCUUGUCUAUGUUCCUUGGAACAGGACGUCAUAGAGGGUGAGAAUCCCGUCUGAUGGGGAAUCCAGUGCUUUGUAGAUUUCUACCGACGAGUCGAGUUGUUUGGGAAUGCAGCUCUAAGUGGGUGGUAAAUUCCAUCUAAAGCUAAAUAUUGGCGAGAGACCGAUAGCGAACAAGUACAGUGAUGGAAAGAUGAAAAGAACUUUGAAAAGAGAGUGAAAAAGUACGUGAAAUUGUUGAAAGGGAAGGGUAUUGGAUCAGACUUGGUGUUUUGUGAUUAUCUUCCCUUCUUGGGUUGUGCACUCGCAUUUCACUGGGCCAGCAUCGGUUCGGGUGGCAAGAUAAUGGCUUGGGAACGUGGCACUCUUCGGAGUGUGUUAUAGCCCUUGUUGAUGUUGCCUACCUGGACCGAGGACUGCGGCUUCUGCCUAGGAUGCUGGCGUAAUGAUUCAAUACCGCCC
Molecule: ribosomal RNA, 545 nt
Filed under: Petasospora taoyuanica
Lineage: Eukaryota; Fungi; Ascomycota; Saccharomycetes; Phaffomycetales; Wickerhamomycetaceae
Description: eukaryotic LSU rRNA
Rfam family: Eukaryotic large subunit ribosomal RNA
Source: RNAcentral